RNAcentral lists this ribosomal RNA (509 nucleotides) under uncultured Glomus. Its description in RNAcentral is "SSU rRNA". It matches the Rfam family "Eukaryotic small subunit ribosomal RNA", at positions 569 to 1081 of the family's 1831-position model. The record is from RNAcentral. Lineage: Eukaryota; Fungi; Glomeromycota; Glomeromycetes; Glomerales; Glomeraceae.
AGCAGCCGCGGUAAUUCCAGCUCCAAUAGCGUAUAUUAAAGUUGUUGCAGUUAAAAAGCUCGUAGUUGAAUUUCGGGGUCAGUAGGUUGGUCGUGCCACUGGUAUGCACUGGUCUCACUGAUUCCUCCUUCCUGAUGAGCCGUAAUGCCAUUAAUUUGGUGUUGCGGGGAAUCUGGACUGUUACUUUGAAAAAUUAGAGUGUUUAAAGCAGGCUAACGCUUGAAUACAUUAGCAUGGAAUAAUGAAAUAGGACGAUCGAUCCUAUUUUGUUGGUUUCUAGGAUUGACGUAAUGAUUAAUAGGGAUAGUUGGGGGCAUUAGUAUUCAAUUGUCAGAGGUGAAAUUCUUGGAUUUAUUGAAGACUAACUACUGCGAAAGCAUUUGCCAAGGAUGUUUUCAUUAAUCAAGAACGAAAGUUAGGGGAUCGAAGACGAUCAGAUACCGUCGUAGUCUUAACCAUAAACUAUGCCGACUAGGGAUCGGAUGAUGUUAAUUUUUAAUGACUCAUUC